UCCAUUUAAUUUGUAGGAUUAUUUGUGCAUUUUGCCAUGCCAUGCUUCAUUAAACCGGACAUGCAUCAUACUUGGUUGUGCAUCAUGCCAUGUUGAUGUGAUGGUUGUUUACUAUGUUGUUUGCUCCUUUCCGGUAUUGCUUUGCGGGUUGGUUCCGAUAACGUCGCGUUUGUGAGGAUUCGUUCGACUUCGUCUGUUUGUCUUCUUCAUGGACUCGUUCUUCUUCCUUGCGGGAUCUCAGGCAAGAUGACCAUACCCUCGAAAUCACUUCUAUCUUUGCUUGCUAGUUGCUCGCUCUUUUGCUAUGCCUAUACUGCGAUACCUACCACUUGCUUAUCAUGCCUCCCAUUUUGCCAUGUCAAACCUCUAACCCACCUUGUCCUAGCAAACCGUUGUUUGGCUAUGUUACCGCUUUGCUCAGUCCCUCUUAUAGCGUUGCUAGUUGCAGGUGAAGAUUGGAGUUUGUUCCUUGUUGGAGCAUGAUUAUUGUUGGGAUAUCACAAUAUCUCUUAUUUAAUUAAUGCAUCUAUAUACUUGGUAAAGGGUGGAAGGCUCGGCCUUAUGCCUGGUAUUUUGUUCCACUCUUGCCGCCCUAGUUUCCAUCAUACCGGUGUUAUGUUCCUUGAUUUUGCGUUCCUUACGCGGUUGGGUUAUAAUGGGAACCCCUUGACAGUUCGCCUUGAAUAAAAAUCCUCCAGCAAGGCCCGACCUUGGUUUUACCAUUUGCCACCUAAGCCUUUUCCCUUGGGUUCUGCAGACUCAAGGGUCAUCUUUAUUUAAACCCGGGCCAGUGCUCCUAUGAGUGUUGGUCCAAACUAGAGCACCGUGCAGGGCCAUCCCUUGGCAACUUGUGUUACGUCGGCUCCUGUACGCUUAGCUUAUCCGGUGUGCCCUGAGAACGAGAUAUGUGCAGCUCCUAUCGGGAUUUGUCGACACAGCGGGUGGUCUUGCUGGUCUUGUUUUACCAUUGUCGAAAUGUCUUGUAACCGGGAUUCCGAGUCUGAUCGGGUCUUCCUGGGAGAAGGAAUAUCCUUCGUUGACCGUGAGAGCUUGUGAUGGGCUAAGUUGGGACACCCCUGCAGGGUUUUGAACUUUCGAAAGCCGUGCGCGCGGUUAUGGGCAGAUGGGAAUUUGUUAAUGUCCGGUUGUAGAAAACCUGAAGUUUAACUUAAUUAAAAUGGAUCAACCUUGUGUGUAGCCGUGAUGGUCUCUUUCCGGCGGAGUCCGGGAAGUGAACACGGUGUUGGAGUUAUGCUUGACAUAGGUUGUUCUAGGAUCACUUCUUGAUCAUAGUUUCUCGGCCGUGCUUUGCCUUUCUCUUCUCGCUCUCAUUUGCGUAAGUUAGCCACCAUAUAUGCUAGUGCUUGCUGCAGCUCCACCUCAUACCUUUUACCUUACCCAUAAGCUUAAAUAGUCUUGAUCACGAGGGUGUGAGAUUGCUGAGUCCCCAUGACUCACAAAUUACUUCAAAACCAGUUUGCAGGUGCCGAUGAUACCGUGCAGGUGACGCAACCGAGCUCAAGGAGGAGCUCGAUGAAGGUCGUGUUCGUUAUGUUGUUCCGUUUUUUAGUUGAUCAGUAGUGGAGCCCAGUUGGGACGAUCGGGGAUCUGUGUAGCAUUUGGGGUAGUCUUCUUUUUAUUUUGGUUCCGUAGUCGGACCUUGAAUGUAUCUGGAUGAUGUAAUGUUGUAUUCAUGUAUUGUGUGAAGUGGCGAUUGUAAGCCAACUAUGUAUCUUUUUCCCUUAUGUAUUACAUGGGUUGUGUGAAG
This 1768-nucleotide long non-coding RNA is filed under the name Triticum aestivum (bread wheat). RNAcentral's name for it is "long non-coding RNA (TAES_LNC025381)". The record is from RNAcentral. Lineage: Eukaryota; Viridiplantae; Streptophyta; Magnoliopsida; Poales; Poaceae.